RNAcentral lists this small RNA (2008 nucleotides) under Pongo abelii (Sumatran orangutan). RNAcentral's name for it is "retained intron". Lineage: Eukaryota; Metazoa; Chordata; Mammalia; Primates; Hominidae. The record is from RNAcentral.
CUGUCCCUGUCUGCUGCUGAGAUGGUUAGUUGGAAGUUGGAUACACAGGUCACACCUCAUUUUUAGCAAACCCUGGUCCAGCCACACCCUUGGCCACGUCUCAGAGCUGCCUGUAUAGAGCAUUUUUCAGAUCCCCAAGGGAUGGUGCCUUUUUGCUUAAUGGUCUCUGCCUCACUGAUUGUCUCCCUCUUGCAUUCUGCUAUAAGUAGCAAGGAGAAGCCAGGUGGCACCUUCCACACUGCUUGGAAAUCUCAGCUUGAUAUCCAGGCUCAUCAGCUGCAGGCCCCACUUUGCACCCAACAGCAGAGCAGCAGCCAGCCAAGCUCUCUGCUGCCUCCUCCGGUUUCCAGUAGCACAGUCAUUUCCGCCUGAGACCUCACUGGAAGCACCUGUUGGGUCGGCAUUGCUGCUGACAUCCAGCCUGUGAUGCCGUGUGUACUCUCCAAGACGGCAGCAGCUCUCCUCUCCCAGCCGUUUCCAGGCUUGUCUUCAUGCCUUUACUACCGUUGUCUUCAUGCCUUUACUACCGACAGCCGCGCAGGCCCCUCACCACAGUUCUUCCAGCCUCUCCCCGUCACCCGCUUCCAAAGCUGCUGCCACAGUUCUUGGUGUUAGGUUUCGGCAGCACCCUUCCUGGUACCAAAAUCUGUUCAUUUCUUGUGGCUGCUGUGACAAAGUGUCACAAACUGGGUGGCUUAAAAACCAGAAAUUGUCUUAGUUCUGGAGGCUGGAAGUCCAAGAUGAAGGUAUUGGCAGCCCCAUUCCCUCUGAAACCUCUUAGAGACCUCUGUUGCCCCCCAGCUUCUGGUGUUUGCCACAGCCCUUGGUGUUUCUUGGCUUGUGGUCGCGAUGCUACAGGUGGCCUCUGUCUUCGUGUGGCCCCCUCCCCGCCUGCCUCUGUCUUCCUAUCUUUCCUUUUCUUAGAAGGACUCCCAGUCAAUUGGAUUAGGGUACACCCCUCUCCAGUGUGACCUCAGUUACAUCUGCAUCAACCCUGUUUGCCAAUAUGGCCACAUUUCCAAGCACUGGGGGUCAGGAGGCUGAUGUAGCCUUUUCAGGACACACCUUAUGAUGCUGGCCCCAUUGCCGUUCCAUGGUGGCUGAGCAGGUGGGGACCCCACCCAGUCCUGUGCUCUCGCUGCUCACCUGCCUGCCAGGGCCAGGUGGGGCAGGUGGCUCUGGGAGCCCCUUUCUCACUGGGUACCAGGUGGCAGAGUCCAUGGGCCUGAGUCCCCUGCAGCCAAGCUGCCCAUGCUGACACUAGCCCUCCUUAGGCCAUGCGGACCCUCAGUUGGAAGCACACCCUGGGCCUGGUGACCAUGGACGUGGAGCUGGCCGACCGCACGCUGUCUGUGGCGGUCACCCCGGUACAGGCGGUGAUCUUGCUGUAUUUUCAGGACCAAGCCAGCUGGACCCUGGAGGAACUGAGCAAGGCGGUGAAAAUGCCCGUGGCGCUGCUGCGGCGGCGGAUGUCCGUGUGGCUGCAGCAGGGUGUGCUGCGCGAGGAGCCCCCUGGCACCUUCUCUGUCAUUGAGGAGGAGCGGCCUCAGGACCGGGACAACAUGGUGCUCAUCGACAGUGACGACGAGAGUGACUCCGGCAUGGCCUCCCAGGCUGACCAGAAGGAGGAGGAGCUGCUGCUCUUCUGGACAUACAUCCAGGCCAUGCUGACCAACCUGGAGAGUCUCUCGCUGGAUCGCAUCUACAACAUGCUCCGCAUGUUUGUGGUGACUGGGCCUGCACUGGCCGAGAUUGACCUGCAGGAGCUGCAGGGCUACCUGCAGAAGAAGGUGCGGGACCAGCAGCUCGUCUACUCGGCCGGUGUCUACCGCCUGCCCAAGAACUGCAGCUGACACACCCGCCUGCCCGCCCGCCCGCCAGGCGCUGCCCUGCAGGUGCUCUUGUCCUCCCAUGCCAGCCCCCGCCCGCCUGUGUCCCAGAAUGCACUGCUCAGGAGCACGCCCACCCCCACCCCCACAGUGUGCAGAUUAAAGCAAGUCAGAUCGUC